GAACUGAAGAGUUUGAUCCUGGCUCAGAUUGAACGCUGGCGGAAUGCUUUACACAUGCAAGUCGAACGGCAGCACGGACUUCGGUCUGGUGGCGAGUGGCGAACGGGUGAGUAAUACAUCGGAACGCGUCCUGUAAUGGGGGAUAACCUGGCGAAAGCCAGGCUAAUACCGCAUACGUCCUGAGGGAGAAAGCGGGGGAUCGCAAGACCUCGCGUUAUAGGAGCGGCCGAUGUCGGAUUAGCUAGUUGGUGGGGUAAAGGCCUACCAAGGCGACGAUCUGUAGCGGGUCUGAGAGGACGGCCCGCCACACUGGGACUGAGACACGGCCCAGACUCCUACGGGAGGCAGCAGUGGGGAGUUUUGGACAAUGGGCGAAAGCCUGAUCCAGCCAUGCCGCGUGAGUGAAGAAGGCCUUCGGGUUGUAAAGCUCUUUCAGGUGGAAAGAAAGCGGAUGGGCUAAUACCCUGUUCG
Molecule: ribosomal RNA, 471 nt
Filed under: Nitrospira sp.
Lineage: Bacteria; Pseudomonadati; Nitrospirota; Nitrospiria; Nitrospirales; Nitrospiraceae
Description: bacterial SSU rRNA
Rfam family: Bacterial small subunit ribosomal RNA
Source: RNAcentral